Non-coding RNA from Acanthosepion pharaonis, 101 nucleotides. NCBI's taxonomy places the organism in Eukaryota, Metazoa, Mollusca, Cephalopoda, Sepiida, Sepiidae. The record is from the annotation of a GenBank genome assembly.
AGGGCCACAUCACGUUGAAACACCGGUUCUCGUACGAUCAACGAAGUUAAACAACGUUGAGCCUGGUCAUUACCUCGGUGGCUGAUUGCUUGGGAAUACCA